This 61-nucleotide transfer RNA is filed under the name Opilio parietinus. RNAcentral's name for it is "tRNA-Thr". The record is from RNAcentral. Lineage: Eukaryota; Metazoa; Arthropoda; Arachnida; Opiliones; Phalangiidae.
UCUUUAAUAGUUUAAAUAAAACAUUAGUUUUGUAAACUAAAAUUGAAAUUUUCUUAAAGAA